This is a long non-coding RNA of Pseudophryne corroboree (corroboree frog), 1288 nucleotides long. RefSeq lists it as uncharacterized. The record is from RefSeq and is a predicted model, not a curated record. The transcript has 3 exons. NCBI's taxonomy places the organism in Eukaryota, Metazoa, Chordata, Amphibia, Anura, Myobatrachidae.
GGGGCGGAGUGAGAGGGAAAGAGAGAAGUAUGAGGUACCUGUAAGGACUGUCCUGUACCUCAGAGGGAGAGUUGUGAGGUACCUGGUGUAAGCGAGGAAGAAAGAGAGAGGUGUACCUCCGUGUGCAAGGACUGAGACCCCCACUUCAAGCAUAUCCAGACGCUGUUAUACCGCUGGGUGCGUCUUCAGAUGCCCCCAUUGGCCGCACCACCGACGACACCUGCACCAGCGUCAAGAAAAAAUGCUCUUUUUGAAUCCGUACCGGUUAUUCUGCUCUCUCUCCAGCAGCUGGCUCCGGAAUGUUCAAUUGAUGUAUACUGUAUAUAGUGGCGAUCACACUGAAAUAAUUCCAAAUUAAGGAGAACAUAUUCAAGGGCUUCUUCAUCCAAAACCUACCUUACUCCAUAGUUGGAAGGUUCACCACAGAGGAAAAUCUCAACAUACCAAGGUGAAAGAUCUGGACCAGUUAAGCCAAUACCAAUCUCCCAAGUCCACGUUUGUCACACCUUGACCACACCUAUUUACGGAAAUGGACCAAUCUCUGAUGGUCAUAGAAAUUGUGACUAUUUAAGGGAAGGAUGGGAGGGAGAAGCUGUGGUUGCUAUGCAGAAGAUCCGACAUAACAACCCAACAAUAACUUCUAAAACACCACAUUCGGGUAACCUACCGUAUUAUACUGUCUGCAUUAGUUUCAGAUCACUAUUGCUGGUCAUAAAAUGGAUGUUAAUAUACAAGAAGGAACCACUAUGAGGGGGAAAAGGACUAGCCGGAAGUGCGGUCCACAGCAUCCAAUCAGAUUCCAGCUAUCCUCUUAUAGAAUGUGGUAGAUACAUGAUAGCUACAAUUGGAUUGGUUGCUACGAGCAUCACAUCCACUUGUCCUCUUUAGGUUUGUUAAAUCUCCCCCUAAAAGUCCUAAAAAUAUCCAAAAACGUAUUUGUUUUCUUAAAUACCCAUCUCACAUUACAUAAAAUGUAAUUAUAUUUAAAACUCCUUUAAUAAAUUCAAUGUAAUUAAGAUAAAAGGGAGCUGGAAAUAAAUGGUCAGCAUUCCAGGCUGAUGUGAAACGAGCAGACUGCUGUGUAUCAUUCAUUCUGUGUAACAAUGAAAUAUGGAGACUUCUCUUUCCCUUCAGCGCUUUGUAAUGUAGUUUGUAUCUGACACGCAGUGCUUAAUGCAGAGUUUGCUCUGAGUCUUUGGCCGCAUUACGUAGCCUGACAUUUUAGCUUUAAUUACCCACCGAUCAAAUACCAGAAAGUAAAAAAAAAUAAAGUCAACGUUAUAUUAUU